Molecule: unclassified non-coding RNA, 6305 nt
Filed under: Trichogramma pretiosum
Lineage: Eukaryota; Metazoa; Arthropoda; Insecta; Hymenoptera; Trichogrammatidae
Description: nuclear receptor-binding protein homolog, transcript variant X3
Source: RNAcentral
GCCGAAUGAUAGUUUUUACUCGGCUCCCUGUAUAUAAUAAUAAAGCGACUGCUCUGCCUGCAUGCGUUGCAAUAUAUAGUAGGUAUCGCGACAUACACACAUGUAUGUUAUACACGCACAGAUGCACAUUAGGGCGACGAGACUGCAGAUGCAGAGAGACGACGAGUGGUGUGUGUGCGCGAGCGUGUGACUGACGCGUGUGCGUGAGUAUAAUAAUAAUAUAAUAUAGAAGAAAAAAAAGCAGCUUUAUCAUCGAAUAUUCGACGGCGUAUAGCCGACGACGGCCGCAGCCCGAAGCGAGUCGUCGCAAUAGCGUGCGCAAGUAUCAACACAGCAGUAGGAGCAGCAUUAUAAAGCAUAUAUAUAGGAGCAGCAGCAGAGCUUGGCCGAGGAGACCGGCGCCGCCGCCGCCACCGCCACUGCCGCCGACGACAACACGCGUCAUUGCCGCAUUGAAAAUAUAGAUUUGCCGAUUGUGCAGAGAGACAGAGAGAGAGAGAGAGAGAAACUGCCUCGCGAGCGAGCCAAGGCAGUAGCACGAGCAGGCGGCAGUAGCAGCAGCCGCCAGUCGCCACCGCCGCAAUCAGACACACGAUAUAUAGGUAUCGCCAAUUCGCGUACAACACUGGCUGCUCGUCUCCUCCGGCGCCGCGACGCAACGCGCGCUAGACAGUCGCGUAUACGCUGCACGAGCUAUUACAUCGACCUAUAGUGCAGCGCCUAAUUGACUAUUGUCCGAGUGGCCCCCCAGCAGCAGCAGCCGCCGCCGCAAACCACGUAAACAAAGUUUCUGUCUACGCGAGUCUUGUUUGUGUAUCAGACUGUAGCAGCAGCAGCAGCUCGUCAGUCGUGUCCGUCCGUCACCGAGUCUGCAGACUGCGCCGCGGAGUCGCGACCACGUUACUUUGCGGUUUUGCGUCGACGUCAGCUAUCGUCAUUACGCACACAUCGACGUCCUGACACGCGUCCGUUCGAUGCACACCUCAUCCCGCAGCCUAUCGUCGAGCUUUAAAGACCGCGAGUGCACCUCUACGUCCAGUCAAGCUCUCUGCUGGGUCUCGCUCUGAUCGCCUGUCGUCGUCUAGACUGCGCCUCGUCUGCAGCCCGCAGCACGUCCGAGAGAGAGAGUACUCGCCAACCAAUACGUGAGCAGUAUUUGUACAUGCUCGUAAAAUAUCGCCGAGGUAUUCGUCGAUUGCACAGCUAUACGGAGCAGUAGAGUCUAAGCCAACUCUAUAUAGCGGGGAGCCGGCACGCGCGUGCCCUGCCUAUCUCUUUCUCUUUCUCUCCCACUUUUUCCUUUUUCUUCGGACUUUUGCGGCUUUAACCCAUGUGAGCAAGCAGAGCAACUACAGAAACACCUCGCCUUUCGAUGGAAAUGUCAGGUCGCCGCCACAGACAGUGAUAAUCAGUUACCAAGUGUUUUUCUACACACUCGAGCAACAUUGUUUCUCAUUGGUUCUCAACGCAGAUGAGCUUCCACUUCAAAAAUUCACUUUUAAUUGCUUUUUCACCAUAUUACCCUGUUGCAAGGGUUGAUUACUCAACAACUAUUCAUGUGUGUCUGGUUGAAGUAACUGCUACCUAGUCAAUCAAAUUGUCAACUUCAACAUUUUCACAGUUUAUUUCAACAAUUGUCCAAAAGUUAUCGCCUUCAAAGCUGCAUGUAUAGAUUUCAACGCCAGCUGUUGUUGCCUUCUACUUUUUGCACACCACGUUGAUAUUAGUGCUUGUCAUCUACCCUUUAUAUAUAAGUGGGUUCAGUUCCUGAUUUAAACAAAGUGCUAGUUCACAAAUUAUUCAAUGUCAUUAAUUUCAUGCAAUUGGUCAAAUGAAACAAAUGGACAAUUAGUGAAUUGUGAAAGUGUUAACUUUCAGUGCUAGUUUAUCAAUUUUUUGUGGCAUCAGUCAAUGCAUAGUAUUUGUUGCUAUUGAACUGAUCUCAGGAGGGCUAGUCAUACUAAUGCCCAGCAUUAGUGAGCUUUUAUAAAUAUUGAGUGUGUUAAGAGUUGAGUGUGAUGCCUGGGAGUCGUACUAGUAUCGAACCCGAGCACAAAUCCCCUAGGGAAAGUGGUGAAGAUUCUGAAGAUGAAAGUGAAAUUUUGGAGGAAAGCCCCUGUGGUCGGUGGCUCAAACGCCGUGAAGAGGUAUGUUUUUCACAUAUCGUAUUUUAUCAUGAAAAGGUGGAACAACAAGACUUGCCAGGGAUAGACUGCGCGUAUUUGGCGAUGGAUACCGAGGAAGGCGUCGAAGUCGUGUGGAAUGAAGUUCAAUUUUCCGAAAGAAAAAAUUUCAAAGCUCAAGAGGAAAAGAUACAGCUUGUCUUUGAAAACUUGACGCAACUCGAGCACCCUAAUAUAGUUAAAUUCCAUCGUUACUGGACGGAUACUCACAAUGACAAGCCUCGUGUCAUUUUUAUUACUGAGUACAUGUCAUCUGGGUCUUUGAAACAGUUUCUCAAGCGAACCAAAAGGAAUGUCAAAAAGCUACCCUUGCAAGCUUGGAAGAGGUGGUGUACGCAAAUACUCUCUGCUCUCAGUUACUUGCAUUCCUGCUCUCCACCAAUAAUACAUGGUAAUCUCACAUGUGACACCAUUUUUAUUCAACACAAUGGUCUAGUCAAAAUUGGCUCUGUGGCUCCUGAUGCGAUUCAUCAGCAUAUCAAGACUCACAGAGAAAACAUGAAAAAUAUGCAUUUCAUUGCUCCUGAAUAUGGAGUUUCCAUAACUCCAUCUACAGAUAUUUUCUCAUUCGGCAUGUGCGCAUUGGAAAUGGCUGCAUUGGAAAUUCAAGGCAACGGAGAUAGUGGAAAUGUUGUUACAGAAGAACAUAUUAUGAAAACUAUUGAUUCGCUGGACGAUAUUCAACAAAAAAACUUUAUUCGCAAAUGUAUACAAGGGGACCCAUUAAAUAGGCCAAGUGCCCGGGAGUUACUUUUUCACCCUAUUUUGUUUGAGGUUCAUUCCUUGAAACUGCUUGCUGCACAUGCCUUAGUCAACUCUGCUACAAAUAUAUCGGAAACAAUAACAGAUGAAGUGCUGCAAAGGCUAUAUGGACCGGAUACCGUGGUGGCUGAGAUGAGAUAUCAAAAUCGUCCACCCCACCAAAUACGUUUGAGUGAUUUUCCUGUUGCUGAAAAAUUAGAAAAAUUUGUCGAAGACGUAAAAUAUGGGAUUUAUCCACUGACUGCAUUUAAAGCAAAACUUCCACCACCUGUUCGGCCUCGAGCUAUUUCUCCUGAAGUAGCUGAAUCUGUAAAAUCUGUCACUCCAGAACCAAUUGACACAGAGACUCGGAGAGUAGUCAAUAUGAUGUGUAAUGUAAAGGCAAAAGAAGAUUGUACCGAGCUGCAAAUGACAAUUUUAUUAAGAAUGGAUGACAAAAUGAAUAGACAAUUAACUUGUCCAGUUUCUGAAAAUGAUACUCCAUUACUUUUAGCUCAAGAACUUGUGAAUUUUGGAUUCAUCAAUGAGAUUGAUCGUGAUAUGUUAGCAAAUUUGAUUGAUGAAGCUUUAGCAAGUUGUUUCAACAAAAGAAUGUUAAAACCUGGUAUGGUGUCGUUGUCUAAUCUAGUAAAUCCAACAACAUUAAGACUACCAGAGCCAGGUCAAUCUCAGAUUCGAACUUUGGACGCAGAAGCGUUAUCAAAACAUCUACAACUUCAAGCAACUUUAGCUGCACAAAAUAAUAUGGGCCUUGAUACUCCAAUGAAUAAGCAUCAGGAACAGUUGCACCAGCAGCAUCAAACGGAUGAACCACAAACAAUGGCUACGAAUGAGGUUACUAGUUAACCACCGGCCUCUCUGCUCAACGCAUUUCAUGGCCAUUACUUUUUACAUUGCUUAUGCUACUAUUGUUGUGCUGCGCUUCAUUCUCCAUGUACAGACUGGCUAUUUAUUUUUAUAUUUUUAAAUCAGCGAUCGGCUGUAAUGAUGUAGAUGGCAAUUGCCGGUCAAGGGUUUCCCCUUACCGUGAAAAACAGGUAUUCUUCGACAACUUAUAUCAAGAUCAUGGCUAUGAUGAUGGCCUGCGGCCGAUUUUAAUUGUAUAAAUUAAAUUAAUAUUGACACCCCUAUUUUUGUUGAAAAUAAUUUUCUAAUGUCACUUGGAACAAAAGAUUUCGCCUUUUUGAGAAUGAAAAAAUAUGGUGAAUCUCUUAACAUUCAUGGGUAUUAAAAAUUGGGCACAAGUAUUAUCACUCUAUUGGACAUAAAGCUUUAUCUUAAUAUUUAAUUCAAUUCAUAGUAAUACGAUUUAUUAUAAAUUAAAUAUUGAAAAAUCAGUCAAACUAAUUUGAUGAAUUAUUAUAAAUAGCUUACGUACAAUUUUGCAUUUUGUGUUGAAAAUUUAUGAAACUAAAAAAUAACUAAAAUAUUUUCUCAUAAAAGAAUGGAUUUUAUAUUUCGAGGUACAGUAAACUUUGUCUUUUCGAUUUUUCAUUGUUGCUUGUAUCGUACUGUUUUAAGAUCAUGCUUGAAAUUUUUAAUAUAAAGUUCUAAAUUUUUAAUAUAAAGAUUAAAUCACUUUUACAUUUUUAUAGAAAUUAUAGUAAUUUUACGCUUAUGUUUAUACGUGUUUGUAAAAAGAAAAAUUUGUUUACAAUUCUCCGUACCAAUUCAUUAAGAAUGCAGAUUUGUCUCGUGAAUGUACGGCGUUUAAAGCCAACCUUGAUCAUUGAAGAUACAAUAUAUAAAAUGUAAAGGAAACAAAUGUUAUCAAAAUUGUAAAAAUGAACAAUAGUUUUGAAUACACAUUUCGCACAAAAAAUGAGUAACAGUAGUAAAUAUGUAAGUCAAUCCAUUUAGGCCAGCAGUAAUGAUAACUGAACGAAAUAUAACAAUACAGUCCUUACUCACCGUAAGUCUCUAGAGAUCUUAUUGUUUCAUGUUACGGUACACAUUAAACGAGAAAUACUGUGGUAUUGAAUAUGACACUAACUUGUUGGGUAUUACUAUUAAUAUAUCAAAGUUAUUAACAAGCUUAUUAUUCAUCAUAUUUCUUUCGGAGCUGAAUUGUUAUGAUAACGGCAAUAAUUAUUUAUUCAGAAUCGUAUAAUUAAUAAUAUUCCGUUCAACUACGUAAAAAAAUAAUUGAAAUUUUAUUAAAAUGUUUAAAAUAUAAUAUAUUAACGAAAGCUAGAGAGCUUAUUUGAUUUUUUUUAAAUUAAAAGAUGCAAUAACUACCAGUUGAAGGAUUCGAAUGAACUUACAGUAUCAAAAUAAUUUACAAAAGGAAAAUACCAAACUUAACAUAAUCAUGUAACUCCGGAAUAGAAACAAGGUUUUACAACCGUAACAUAUAAAAAGGAAAAGUCAUGUUCGAAAUAUGAGUUUGCUGUAAAUAAAAACUAUAUUUUUAAGAGAAACUGUCAAUACAGAAAACUAGUCAUAACUAUAUUCAAAUGUUGAAUAGACUAACACACCGACUUCCUUACGUCUUUUUUGCAUUUAAAAUUAUGACAAACGCUUGGCCAAGAUGGAAAAGAAUUUUUUGAGAUUAAGAUUGAAUUUAAAAAAAUCGUAAAUGAAUUACAAAAAAUAAACAAGUGUGAAUAAAUAAACACAAGUUAAUGAGAACAAGGUACUGCUCUUAUUUUUGUCCAUACUUCCGAAAAAUAACGAGAAUAUUGAAUCGUUGCAUUUUUUAUAAAAAUUAAUUAUAGAAUAAAUAAUGCGUGAUAAAGAACCGCCCGAGAAAAUGGUAGAAUGUGAAUAUACAGAAUUGUACACUUCAACUUCAAAAUGUUUACAAUGUCGAGAUGCAAAGUGAAUGAAAUGUAUAGCGAUAUUUUCUCGACUUAUUACUUUUUUGUAAUAAAAUGCUAAAUUGUUGUGAUGCAAACUUGAAUAUAAUGAUGUAAUAUAGUAGAAAAUGUGGUAAUAGAAAGCCAUUAUUAUAUUCGUUCAGAGUUUAGCUCGAAUCGUUUUUUUUUAUUGUUUGUUUUAUCGGAAUGACAAAUUCCACAAAGUGAUAACGUGAAUAAAAUGAUGAGAAUUAGAGUCUCUUUUGCAGUCUGUUAUUAUUUUUUGUUCGCUUCUAAAUAAGCUUUAUUUAUGUAUAGAAUAGCGUUUUACUCGCAAGAUAUUACAAAAUUCAUAUAAACUAAAUAAUGUUCCUCUUGUUUAUUUCUUUUAUUUUUGUACACACACCAUGAUAAAAUUGAAAGAGGCAGUUAAAGACAUCAAAAGUAUUUUUUCAUAGAUUUCACUACAAUUGUGAAGUAUAAUAUCAUUACUUGAAAUGCAUUCUGAUCGGGACUGAUGGAUGAACACUGUGUAAAUCCAAGUAACAUUACAAUAUAUUUU